Non-coding RNA from Caenorhabditis elegans, 134 nucleotides. NCBI's taxonomy places the organism in Eukaryota, Metazoa, Nematoda, Chromadorea, Rhabditida, Rhabditidae. The record is from Ensembl.
AUAUACACAAAAGUCGGUAAUAUUGAAGAGAUGAAAAGGAAUGUCGGUCAAAAGAUAUUAUGGAUCAGUUAUCAGAUGGUGGUGAUUUGGAGAUAGUCUAAAAGCGGCAGAAGCCAGGGAAAUUGAAACUUGGA